Molecule: long non-coding RNA, 327 nt
Organism: Sander lucioperca (pikeperch)
Lineage: Eukaryota; Metazoa; Chordata; Actinopteri; Perciformes; Percidae
Exons: 3
Source: RefSeq, a predicted model, not a curated record
UUAUUUACUAUAGAUUAAAAGUCCAAUUACUGAUUUGUUUUUGUCCAGCUCAGUGAGCCAGUUUCUGUCUAAUUUUAAACCCAAAUGUGAACUGUUCCCUAACUCUUCAGAUAAUAAACAAGUGAAAGUGAGUCAUCUGUCAGCAGAGAGCUGUUUCUGUCUGCUGAACAAACUGAAAGAGAAUCAAUGAUAGAGAUUAUAGAUGAGCAGUAGAGGCAUCAUGAUGGUGGGUUAGAGUUACACACACACUUCUUGGAGCACACGAAAGAAAGUGGGGUGCUACAAGGCCUAUCGUUCCAGUUAUUUCCUCCAUUGUAGUUAUCUCAG